CCUGAACCAGCCAAGUAGCGUGAAGGAUGAAGGUCCUACGGAUUGUAAACUUCUUUUAUACGGGAAUAAAGUUUCCUACGUGUAGAAUUUUGUAUGUGCCGUAUGAAUAAUCAUCGGCUAACUCCGUGCCAGCAGCCGCGGUAAUACCGAGGAUGCGAGCGUUAUCCGGAUUUAUUGGGUUUAAAGGGAGCGCAGACGGGAGAUUAAGUCAGUUGUGAAAGUUUGCGG
RNAcentral lists this ribosomal RNA (228 nucleotides) under uncultured Bacteroidaceae bacterium. Its description in RNAcentral is "partial 16S ribosomal RNA". It matches the Rfam family "Bacterial small subunit ribosomal RNA", at positions 382 to 607 of the family's 1533-position model. Lineage: Bacteria; Pseudomonadati; Bacteroidota; Bacteroidia; Bacteroidales; Bacteroidaceae. The record is from RNAcentral.